AGUUUGAUCCUGGCUCAGAUUGAACGCUGGCGGCAUGCCUUACACAUGCAAGUCGAACGGCAGCGCGGGGGCAACCCUGGCGGCGAGUGGCGAACGGGUGAGUAAUACAUCGGAACGUGUCCUGUAGUGGGGGAUAGCCCGGCGAAAGCCGGAUUAAUACCGCAUACGCUCUACGGAGGAAAGGGGGGGAUCUUAGGACCUCUCGCUACAGGGGCGGCCGAUGGCAGAUUAGCUAGUUGGUGGGGUAAAGGCCUACCAAGGCGACGAUCUGUAGCUGGUCUGAGAGGACGACCAGCCACACUGGGACUGAGACACGGCCCAGACUCCUACGAGAGGCAGCAGUGGGGAAUUUUGGACAAUGGGCGCAAGCCUGAUCCAGCAAUGCCGCGUGUGUGAAGAAGGCCUUCGGGUUGUAAAGCACUUUUGUCCGGAAAGAAAACGCCGUGGUUAAUACCCGUGGCGGAUGACGGUACCGGAAGAAUAAGCACCGGCUAACUACGUGCCAGCAGCCGCGGUAAUACGUAGGGUGCAAGCGUUAAUCGGAAUUACUGGGCGUAAAGCGUGCGCAGGCGGUCCGCUAAGACAGAUGUGAAAUCCCCGGGCUUAACCUGGGAACUGCAUUUGUGACUGGCGGGCUAGAGUAUGGCAGAGGGGGGUAGAAUUCCACGUGUAGCAGUGAAAUGCGUAGAGAUGUGGAGGAAUACCGAUGGCGAAGGCAGCCCCCUGGGCCAAUACUGACGCUCAUGCACGAAAGCGUGGGGAGCAACAGGAUUAGAUACCCUGGUAGUCCACGCCCUAAACGAUGUCAACUAGUUGUUGGGGAUUCAUUUCCUUAGUAACGUAGCUAACGCGUGAAGUUGACCGCCUGGGGAGUACGGUCGCAAGAUUAAAACUCAAAGGAAUUGACGG
Molecule: ribosomal RNA, 909 nt
Filed under: uncultured bacterium
Lineage: Bacteria
Description: bacterial SSU rRNA
Rfam family: Bacterial small subunit ribosomal RNA
Source: RNAcentral